GAUGAACGCUGGCGGCGUGCUUAACACAUGCAAGUCGAACGGAAAGGCCCGGCUUUUGUGCGGUGCUCGAGUGGCGAGCGGGUGAGAAACACGUGAGUAACCUGCCCUUGACUUUGGGAUAACUUCAGGGAAGUGGGGCUCAUAUCCGAUAGAAGCUCCUGAGCCGUGGUGGGGGUGGGAAAAUUUAGGUGGUUGGGGAUGUAUUCGAGGCUUAUGAGCUUGAUGGUGGGGUAGUGGAUGACCAAGGCUUUGACGGGUAGCCGGCGUGAGAGGGGGACCGGCCACAUGGCGACUGCGAGACGCCCCAGACUCCAACGGGAGGCAGCAGGGGGGAAUAUUGCACAAUGGGCGGAAGCCUGAUGCAGCAGCGCCGCGUGCGUGAUGACGGCUUUCGGGUUGUAAACCGCUUUCGCCUGUGACGAACCGUGAGUGACGGUAAUGGGUAAAGAAGCACCGGCUAACUACGUG
RNAcentral lists this ribosomal RNA (468 nucleotides) under uncultured bacterium. RNAcentral describes it as "partial 16S ribosomal RNA". It matches the Rfam family "Bacterial small subunit ribosomal RNA", at positions 28 to 507 of the family's 1533-position model. The record is from RNAcentral.